This 453-nucleotide ribosomal RNA is filed under the name uncultured Porphyromonadaceae bacterium. RNAcentral's name for it is "partial 16S ribosomal RNA". It matches the Rfam family "Bacterial small subunit ribosomal RNA", at positions 341 to 792 of the family's 1533-position model. Lineage: Bacteria; Pseudomonadati; Bacteroidota; Bacteroidia; Bacteroidales; Porphyromonadaceae. The record is from RNAcentral.
ACGGAAGGCAGCAGUGAGGAAUAUUGGUCAAUGGGCGAGAGCCUGAACCAGCCAAGUCGCGUGAAGGAAGACGGUUCUAUGGAUUGUAAACUUCUUUUGUUCGAGGGUAAAGUGAGAGAUGCGUCUCUUAUUGCAAGUAUCGGACGAAUAAGCAUCGGCUAACUCCGUGCCAGCAGCCGCGGUAAUACGGAGGAUGCGAGCGUUAUCCGGAUUUAUUGGGUUUAAAGGGUGCGUAGGCGGGAUGUUAAGUCAGCGGUGAAAGCGUGUAGCUCAACUAUACCGAGCCGUUGAAACUGGCGUUCUUGAGUGUAAACGAGGUAGGCGGAAUGUGACAUGUAGCGGUGAAAUGCUUAGAUAUGUCACAGAACACCGAUUGCGAAGGCAGCUGACUAAUCCGCAACUGACGCUCAGGCACGAAAGCGUGGGGAUCGAACAGGAUUAGAUACCCUGGUA